Molecule: transfer RNA, 85 nt
Filed under: Waterburya agarophytonicola KI4
Lineage: Bacteria; Bacillati; Cyanobacteriota; Cyanophyceae; Pleurocapsales; Pleurocapsaceae
Rfam family: tRNA
About the family: Transfer RNA (tRNA) molecules are approximately 80 nucleotides in length. Their secondary structure includes four short double-helical elements and three loops (D, anti-codon, and T loops).
Source: Rfam by way of RNAcentral
GGAGAGGUGGCAGAGUGGUCGAACGCGCUCGACUUGAAAUCGAGUUUUCCGAAAGGGAACGUGGGUUCGAAUCCCACCCUCUCCG